AUCACGGGAGACACACGGCGGGUGCUAACGUCCGUCGUGAAGAGGGAAACAACCCAGACCGCCAGCUAAGGUCCCAAAGUCAUGGUUAAGUGGGAAACGAUGUGGGAAGGCCCAGACAGCCAGGAUGUUGGCUUAGAAGCAGCCAUCAUUUAAAGAAAGCGUAAUAGCUCACUGGUCGAGUCGGCCUGCGCGGAAGAUGUAACGGGGCUAAACCAUGCACCGAAGCUGCGGCAGCGAACGUAUCACUUAAAGCGAUUCAGCGGGUUACGAUUGACGGAGCGAAGCGACGUCAAAGCGUAUACAAAGUCGAGUCGGUUUAAGGAUACGUUCGUUGGGUAGGGGAGCGUUCUGUAAGCCCGUGAAGGUGGCCUGUGAGGGUUGCUGGAGGUAUCAGAAGUGCGAAUGCUGACAUAAGUAACGAUAAAGCGGGUGAAAAGCCCGCUCGCCGGAAGACCAAGGGUUCCUGUCCAACGUUAAUCGGGGCAGGGUGAGUCGACCCCUAAGGCGAGGCCGAAAGGCGUAGUCGAUGGGAAACGGGUUAAUAUUCCCGUACUUGGUGUUACUGCGAAGGGGGGACGGAGAAGGCUAUGUUGGCCGGGCGACGGUUGUCCCGGUUUAAGCGUGUAGGUGUGUGUUCCAGGUAAAUCCGGUUCACUUUAACACUGAGGCGUGACGACGAGGCACUACGGUGCUGAAGCAACAAAUGCCCUGCUUCCAGGAAAAGCCUCUAAGCAUCAGGUAACACGAAAUCGUACCCCAAACCGACACAGGUGGUCAGGUAGAGAAUACCAAGGCGCUUGAGAGAACUCGGGUGAAGGAACUAGGCAAAAUGGUGCCGUAACUUCGGGAGAAGGCACGCUGACACGUAGGUGAAGUGAUUUACUCAUGGAGCUGAAGUCAGUCGAAGAUACCAGCUGGCUGCAACUGUUUAUUAAAAACACAGCACUGUGCAAACACGAAAGUGGACGUAUACGGUGUGACGCCUGCCCGGUGCCGGAAGGUUAAUUGAUGGGGUCAGCGCAAGCGAAGCUCCUGAUCGAAGCCCCGGUAAACGGCGGCCGUAACUAUAACGGUCCUAAGGUAGCGAAAUUCCUUGUCGGGUAAGUUCCGACCUGCACGAAUGGCGUAAUGAU
RNAcentral lists this ribosomal RNA (1133 nucleotides) under Salmonella enterica subsp. enterica serovar Typhimurium. RNAcentral's name for it is "bacterial LSU rRNA". It matches the Rfam family "Bacterial large subunit ribosomal RNA", at positions 974 to 2008 of the family's 2925-position model. Lineage: Bacteria; Pseudomonadati; Pseudomonadota; Gammaproteobacteria; Enterobacterales; Enterobacteriaceae. The record is from RNAcentral.